This 465-nucleotide ribosomal RNA is filed under the name Vreelandella stevensii. Its description in RNAcentral is "partial 16S ribosomal RNA". It matches the Rfam family "Bacterial small subunit ribosomal RNA", at positions 338 to 795 of the family's 1533-position model. The record is from RNAcentral. Lineage: Bacteria; Pseudomonadati; Pseudomonadota; Gammaproteobacteria; Oceanospirillales; Halomonadaceae.
CCUACGGGUAGCAGCAGUGGGGAAUAUUGGACAAUGGGCGAAAGCCUGAUCCAGCCAUGCCGCGUGUGUGAAGAAGGCCUUCGGGUUGUAAAGCACUUUCAGUGGGGAAGAAAGCCUUGGGGCUAAUACCCUCGAGGAAGGACAUCACCCACAGAAGAAGCACCGGCUAACUCCGGGCCAGCAGCCGCGGUAAUACGGAGGGUGCGAGCGUUAAUCGGAAUUACUGGGCGUAAAGCGCGCGUAGGCGGUCUGAUAAGCCGGUUGUGAAAGCCCCGGGCUCAACCUGGGAACGGCAUCCGGAACUGUCAGGCUAGAGUGCAGGAGAGGAAGGUAGAAUUCCCGGUGUAGCGGUGAAAUGCGUAGAGAUCGGGAGGAAUACCAGUGGCGAAGGCGGCCUUCUGGACUGACACUGACGCUGAGGUGCGAAAGCGUGGGUAGCAAACAGGAUUAGAUACCCCGGUAGUC